CACUCCUACGGGAGGCAGCAGUGGGGGAAUAUUGCACAAUGGGGCGCAAGCCUGAUGCAGCCAUGCCGCGUUGUAUGGAAGAAGGCCUUCGGGUUGUAAAGUACUUUCAGCAGUGAGGAAGGUGGGUAUGUUAAUAGCAUAUUCAUUUGACGUUAGCUGCAGAAGAAGCACCGGCUAACUCCGUGCCAGCAGCCGCGGUAAUACGGAGGGUGCGAGCGUUAAUCGGAAUUACUGGGCGUAAAGCGCAUGCAGGUGGUUUGUUAAGUCAGAUGUGAAAGCCCGGGGCUCAACCUCGGAAUUGCAUUUGAAACUGGCAAACUAGAGUACUGUAGAGGGGGUAGAAUUUCAGGUGUAGCGGUGAAAUGCGUAGAGAUCUGAAGGAAUACCGGUGGCGAAGGCGGCCCCCUGGACAGAUACUGACACUCAGAUGCGAAAGCGUGGGGAGCAAACAGGAUUAGAUACCCUGGUAG
This 470-nucleotide ribosomal RNA is filed under the name uncultured bacterium. RNAcentral's name for it is "bacterial SSU rRNA". It matches the Rfam family "Bacterial small subunit ribosomal RNA", at positions 334 to 793 of the family's 1533-position model. The record is from RNAcentral.